GAUGAACGCUGGCGGCGUGCCUAACACAUGCAAGUCGAACGGAAUAUAUUCGCUGCAGAGAUUUCGGUCGAAGCUUGAGUAUACUUAGUGGCGGACGGGUGAGUAACGCGUGGGCAACCUGCCUCAUACCGGGGGAUAGCAGUUGGAAACGACUGAUAAUACCGCAUAAGCGCACAGCAUCGCAUGAUGCAGUGUGAAAAACUCCGGUGGUAUGAGAUGGGCCCGCGUCAGAUUAGCCAGUUGGCAGGGUAACGGCCUACCAAAGCGACGAUCUGUAGCCGGCCUGAGAGGGCGGACGGCCACAUUGGGACUGAGACACGGACCCAAACUCC
RNAcentral lists this ribosomal RNA (332 nucleotides) under uncultured Butyrivibrio sp. Its description in RNAcentral is "bacterial SSU rRNA". It matches the Rfam family "Bacterial small subunit ribosomal RNA", at positions 28 to 339 of the family's 1533-position model. The record is from RNAcentral. Lineage: Bacteria; Bacillati; Bacillota; Clostridia; Lachnospirales; Lachnospiraceae.